This 450-nucleotide unclassified non-coding RNA is filed under the name Hevea brasiliensis (rubber tree). Lineage: Eukaryota; Viridiplantae; Streptophyta; Magnoliopsida; Malpighiales; Euphorbiaceae. The record is from RNAcentral.
GUAAAAUUACCACACUUAAAUUGAUUUAACAAAGAGUAAAUAACCAGCAUAAUUAACAAUCUACCAACAUAAGUUAUCACUUAGUUGCAUAAUUGACUUAUACUAACUCUAGGUAAACUAAGCCUAACAUAACUUCAAAAGCUGUACUUGGAAGAAGCAUUGUAAGGCUAACAUGCUCUACCAUUUCGGAUGACCUUUGAGCUCUCAAAUAACGACAAAUUUAAACGAAUAACCAGCAAUUACUACGAAUUCCAAACCGAGCCAAUACACGCAAUUUAGGAUCUAUAGCUCGAAGGAGUGACAAGAGGAUCUACCAAAGAGAAGUCUAGAGCUCAACUAAUCCUAGGAUCAACUCAUGACUCUUGAAAGAAUAAGAUCCUUAAAAGGACAAACAACAGCAACAACGGCAAUAGAUACUUGAUGAUACAUAACAAACUAGUACAAAUAAAG